CUAGCAUUUCUCUGCACUUAUAACAUUCAACAGAAAAUGCAUAGCAUUAACAAUAUAACCUGUUCAAUCAUAAACAAGGCCACAGCAGCCAACUAUUUGAAAAAUGGUUUAUAUCUUUUGUACAAUCCAGUUUCUUUACCUUUCUACACUAUGGUACAGUAAUGUUUGAAAUUGGAAUGAUCCAUUUGGUCAGCCAUCUGAAGUUAUAUCUAAUAAAACAAGCUUUGAAGUAAAUCUUAAGACUUCUGACCAAACUAUUGAACAAAAUUAUUAA
Molecule: long non-coding RNA, 274 nt
Filed under: Mytilus galloprovincialis (Mediterranean mussel)
Lineage: Eukaryota; Metazoa; Mollusca; Bivalvia; Mytilida; Mytilidae
Source: RNAcentral